Molecule: small nucleolar RNA, 78 nt
Organism: Sphaerodactylus townsendi
Lineage: Eukaryota; Metazoa; Chordata; Lepidosauria; Squamata; Sphaerodactylidae
Product: small nucleolar RNA SNORD53/SNORD92
Exons: 1
Source: RefSeq, a predicted model, not a curated record
CUGCCAUGAUGACAUCCAGUUGGUUUCGCUCACUUCUGAUACAUAGUGAUGAUUGUUUGCUCUUGGCUGUCUGAGCAG